UAACUUUACCAGCUUUUGAAUAAAAUUUAUUAUUUUUUUUAUUUAAAAUAUUAUUUUGCGUAUUCUUUUAUGCAGCAUAAAAUUUUACAGGUGUUGCAUGGUUGUCGUCAGUUCGUGUUGUGAAAUGUUUGGUUAAGUCCCUUAACGAACGUAACUUUUAUGCUGUAUUGCUUAAUUUUUAUUUUUUUUAAAAUAAAAAAGUUCUUUCAGCAGAUAUUUGCUAGUUAUAAACUAGAGGAA
Molecule: ribosomal RNA, 240 nt
Filed under: Mesodinium pulex
Lineage: Eukaryota; Ciliophora; Litostomatea; Cyclotrichida; Mesodiniidae
Description: partial Bacterial small subunit ribosomal RNA
Rfam family: Bacterial small subunit ribosomal RNA (bases 89-240)
Source: RNAcentral